Molecule: ribosomal RNA, 516 nt
Filed under: uncultured bacterium
Lineage: Bacteria
Description: bacterial SSU rRNA
Rfam family: Bacterial small subunit ribosomal RNA
Source: RNAcentral
CCUGGCUCAGGAUGAACGCUGGCGGCGUGCCUAACACAUGCAAGUCGAACGAAGCAUCCCGCCCGAAGAAGAGGAGAGCUUGCUCAAAUCGGACUCAAUUGGGAUGACUUAGUGGCGGACGGGUGAGUAACGCGUGGGUAACCUGCCGUAUACAGGGGGAUAACAGUUAGAAAUGACUGCUAAUACCGCAUAAGCGCACAGAACCGCAUGGUACAGUGUGAAAAGCCGAGACGGUAUACGAUGGACUCGCGUCUGAUUAGCCAGUUGGCAGGGUAACGGCCUACCAAAGCAACGAUCAGUAGCCGGCCUGAGAGGGUGAACGGCCACAUUGGGACUGAGACACGGCCCAAACUCCUACGGGAGGCAGCAGUGGGGGAUAUUGCACAAUGGGGGAAACCCUGAUGCAGCGACGCCGCGUGAGUGAAGAAGUAUUUCGGUAUGUAAAGCUCUAUCAGCAGGGAAGAAAAUGACGGUACCUGACUAAGAAGCUCCGGCUAAAUACGUGCCAGCCGCCGC